RNAcentral lists this unclassified non-coding RNA (332 nucleotides) under soil metagenome. RNAcentral describes it as "partial contains 5.8S ribosomal RNA, internal transcribed spacer 2, and large subunit ribosomal RNA". The stretch from base 1 to 120 matches the Rfam family "5.8S ribosomal RNA", at positions 35 to 154 of the family's 154-position model. The record is from RNAcentral.
GAUGAAGAACGUAGCGAAAUGCGAUAAGUAGUGUGAAUUGCAGAAUUCAGUGAAUCAUCGAAUCUUUGAACGCACAUUGCGCCCUUUGGUAUUCCUUAGGGCAUGCCUGUUCGAGCGUCAUUUAAACCUUCAAGCUAAGCUUGGUGUUGGGUGACUGUCCGCUUCACGGCGGACUCGCCUCAAAAUUAUUGGCGGCCGGUACAUUGGCUUCGAGCGCAGCAGAAACGCGAACUCGGGCCCGUCGUAUUGGCUCCCAGAAGCUAUCUUCACAAUUUUGACCUCGGAUCAGGUAGGGAUACCCGCUGAACUUAAGUAUAUCAAUAGGCGGAGGA